RNAcentral lists this transfer RNA (72 nucleotides) under Deinococcus radiodurans R1 = ATCC 13939 = DSM 20539. Its description in RNAcentral is "Deinococcus radiodurans R1 tRNA". It matches the Rfam family "tRNA". Rfam says of the family: Transfer RNA (tRNA) molecules are approximately 80 nucleotides in length. Their secondary structure includes four short double-helical elements and three loops (D, anti-codon, and T loops). Further hydrogen bonds mediate the characteristic L-shaped molecular structure. tRNAs have two regions of fundamental functional importance: the anti-codon, which is responsible for specific mRNA codon recognition, and the 3' end, to which the tRNAs corresponding amino acid is attached (by aminoacyl-tRNA synthetases). tRNAs cope with the degeneracy of the genetic code in two manners: having more than one tRNA (with a specific anti-codon) for a particular amino acid; and 'wobble' base-pairing, i.e. permitting non-standard base-pairing at the 3rd anti-codon position. RNAcentral also lists the same sequence under 1 other name. The record is from Rfam by way of RNAcentral. Lineage: Bacteria; Thermotogati; Deinococcota; Deinococci; Deinococcales; Deinococcaceae.
GCCGAUGUAGCUCAGUGGUAGAGCAACUGAUUCGUAAUCAGUAGGUCGUCGGUUCAAGUCCGACCCUCGGCU